GAUGAACGCUGGCGGCGUGCCUAAUACAUGCCAGUCGAGCGAACAGACGAGGAGCUUGCUCCUCUGACGUUAGCGGCGGACGGGUGAGUAACACGUGGAUAACCUACCUAUAAGACUGGGAUAACUUCGGGAAACCGGAGCUAAUACCGGAUAAUAUAUUGAACCGCAUGGUUCAAUAGUGAAAGACGGUUUUGCUGUCACUUAUAGAUGGAUCCGCGCCGCAUUAGCUAGUUGGUAAGGUAACGGCUUACCAAGGCAACGAUGCGUAGCCGACCUGAGAGGGUGAUCGGCCACACUGGAACUGAGACACGGUCCAGACUCCUACGGGAGGCAGCAGUAGGGAAUCUUCCGCAAUGGGCGAAAGCCUGACGGAGCAACGCCGCGUGUGUGAUGAAGGUCUUCGGAUCGUAAAACUCUGUUAUUAGGGAAGAACAAAUGUGUAAGUAACUAUGCACGUCUUGACGGUACCUAAUCAGAAAGCCACGGCUAACUACGUG
Molecule: ribosomal RNA, 497 nt
Filed under: uncultured bacterium
Lineage: Bacteria
Description: partial 16S ribosomal RNA
Rfam family: Bacterial small subunit ribosomal RNA
Source: RNAcentral